This 458-nucleotide long non-coding RNA is filed under the name Hordeum vulgare. Its description in RNAcentral is "long non-coding RNA (HVUL_LNC014403)". Lineage: Eukaryota; Viridiplantae; Streptophyta; Magnoliopsida; Poales; Poaceae. The record is from RNAcentral.
CUGAAAGCUUUAUUGAUGAAAGUGGGGUUCUGUUACGUCUUGGUCUGGUCGUAGAACACAAACGAAGAACGCGAAGUUGCAGCUAUGGUGAACUUGUAAUCUAAACAAAACCCAAGUCUAAACGAUGCCCUAAGGGCUGUAUAUAUGGGGGAAUAGAGGGAAUUUCGUGACCCCUUGGAGGAUGGGUCCUAAACAAACCCUUACCUUGUUUCCCCACACAUACGAACUCUAAAAACAACCUAUAAAGUGGUAUUUCCAAAUUACAUGGGUCUGGCCCAAAAAUAAGGUGAUGCAUCACCUAUAAUGGCUUAUUGACGAAAUUUAUGAAGUGGCAUCUUGUAUAUUUCUUCCCAACCUUCCUGCUCUCAUUAUGGUGGCUUCAAAGUGCGAAAAUCACCACGGGAAGCUCGAUUGUUCUUUCCUGUGCGCGCACUUUCUCCUCCAUGAUUGUUCCCACU